This 6219-nucleotide long non-coding RNA is filed under the name Sus scrofa (pig). Its description in RNAcentral is "lncRNA (ENSSSCG00035078813.1)". Lineage: Eukaryota; Metazoa; Chordata; Mammalia; Artiodactyla; Suidae. The record is from RNAcentral.
CAAGCAAGCCGCCUUCCAUCAUGACUGGAAUAUUGAAGCCAUCUGCUCAGCAAUUUCCCUAAAACUUUUUAUAGGAUGGAGUGUUUAACUUUCACGUCUGCUGAGGACCCGAGGCUGUGACGUUAGAUGUGGAAACAGGAAGCAAUCAUUUCAAAUGGGGGGAUAGAGGAACUGGCUGAAGUUAUAGGUCUUAGAGAUGUUAAGUUCACUGAGAAUGAAAGAUUUGAGGAUUCUGGUUUUUACUGUAUAAUUUGAUCUAAUAUGUCUGAAUCCUACUUAAUUAUUUAGGAAAUGUUUGGAAAUUUCUUAGAUGCAUACACAGUGGGUAUUGCUUUUGCAUUUCAUGGCAGAUAGGGCCCUUAUAAACUCAAGUGUGAUUUAUUCUUACCUGAGCAGUUUUAUAAAAGACUCCCAAUUUUUGAUUAAAAGAUCAACUUUGAGAUGGGUAGGGGUUUCACCUCAGGAAGAUAAAAACCAUUCUGUGAUGGACAGGGGCUAUGGUUGUGCAACAGUGUGACUGUACUUAAUGCUGCUGAGCUGGACACUCAAAAACAGUCAAGAUAGUAAAUUUUAAGUUGUGUGUGCUUUCCAUGAUUUUAAAAAGUGAUCAAAUUUGGGGUGAGUCGUGGCUUUCCUUUGUUUGACUUGUACUUAUUUUGGAAGUGCCAUUUGCUCCAGUAACUUACACAUUCAUGGCAGCAUCAACUCCCUUCCCUGCUCCUGGUGACCCAUCUCCCUCUCCCUGUGCCUUUGGUCAGGGCCUUCCCGGGUGGCUGCCCACGCAGGGUGACCAGUGACAGUGGGUAUAUCCUCUGUGUGACCGUGUCAUCUGCGUGACAGUGGCGUCUGUAUGAAGCCAGUGUGACCUUCGCCAGAACAGCUGCUGGAAGGGUGUCCUGCGUCCUGUUUUCCUUCACACCUGUUUCGUGAGCUGCCUCUGGAGGGUCAGGAACUGGGGCCCUCGCUGUAGCAGGAGGCUGGCCUCUGUGUCUGACGUCCACUGGCGGGGCCCUGGGGGAACUCAGGGUCACCCUGAAGUUAAAAUUGCCCCAAAUGGUGCUCAUCCUGUGUGGUAAUAAAACUUAACAGGGUAGCGACCUCUUCAUAGAGAGCAUUUUGCUGAGAUUGGCUAUUUUCCAGACUCAAGUUAACCUUCUUUAGGUGUUUGCAAACGGAGAUCUCUUCCUGCCGCUUCUAAGUCAGGGGAGGGGCCUGGACUCAUGUAAAAUGCAGGGGGUACCUCCCUCCGCUGCUGUGGGGGUCUCAGGGUCCGAGCACGACUCACGUGGAGACACUGUCACAGGCACAUUCCGAGAGAGGACAUGGACUCUGAGUGUGUUUCCCAGGUUGUGCGUUUGACUAUGAGGGGCAGGGGCUGCUUCGUCCUUAGAUGGUCUGACUCCUCCAGAAGGCCCGGGCCUUUGGGGAAAUCGAGCUCAGGCACGUGUGAGCUCACUAAACUCUGUACGGGCAACACAGUGGGCGGGGGUUCUGCCCCGAGCUUAGGGGGUCUCGCAGCCUUUAUCUCCCGUCUGUCAGGGCACAGCCCACCUGCUGCUGAGAAUACCUGGAAGUUACAACAAUGACUGAUUUUACAGUUAAGCAGCAGUACUUACCUGAGCAGACUUUCAUGGUAACAAGUAAGUAGUGACACCUCGAGUGGAUGGAACACGUGGUGGUAUUUGAUUUUUGAGAUCCAUCCUACCCCACUUGACGGGGAAAGCAUGAUCGUGGCAUAAUCUGCGUGCAAAACUGGGUGGAAAGAUUGUAUUUUCCUGUAUUCUGCGGGACUGACCUUUGUGUGUUUGUACAGCUGUAGCGUGAUGUCCGUGGAAGACUCGGUGUUACUGACUCUGAUCUUGGGUUGCAACCAGUGAUGUGCUGGCUGGUGCUUCACUGCCAGCUUCAGGCACUGGUGAGAGGAUGUCAGGGGCCCACGCGGGCUGUUGGGAGUUUCCAGGGCAUACACGCCCCACCCUGGUCACUGGAUAUGGGUCGGGAGAGUCCUCACUUUCCCGCCCCCAUUCUGCAGACCAGUGUUAGACUCCAAGGUGUGUGACUUACUGUUGCACAGCUGAAACAUAUUUUGCUGAGACUCGGGUGCCGGCUUCCACUAUGGUUCAGUGUGCAAGUCUGCCGUGCAGUCUUUUCCUAUGGAAUAUGAUGUACAGCAACCCAGUGCAGCUGGGGCUCUGGGGCAGGGGCACAGGGAGGGGGAGCUGGGGGGCCUCAGGACAUGAGAUGGGCAAGCCCACCAGGUGGGGCGUUCACACACCUGGGAUGCCUCACCUUUGUGGAAGGACAGGUGGAUGGCAUUUUAAUGUACAGAGUCAAACAUAAGACGUUUUGUCUUUGGAUGAUCAAAUCCUUCAAGUAAGUUUCUUUUACCCAGAGACCGAAAUUAUUUAUAAUACCUUUUUUUCUUUCAAAAAAGAAUGAAGGCUGUGGAAUAGGGUGCCAUAUGAUAUGAUUCAUAAGCUAAGAAUAACCAAGCAGCACCGAGUUGCACUGCAUGAGGAGGGGGUGUAUCAGCUGUGAGGAUGCUUCUCCUUUCAGCCCGUGACUUGCUGACCCAUGGCCACUCUGGGGUGAGCAGCCGCUCAUCCCCCUGCCCUUUCAGGAUGGAAAUCCUCCUGUGCUUAAAGGGCUUUAUUUCAUAAAUAGAAAUGGCUAUAUCAGAAUACUGGUCAUGCUAUUUAAUUAUGGCCAGAAUGAGAGGUUAUAGAUCCAUAGUUUUAAGGCCAAAACUGUUUUAUUCCAUGCAGCUCAUUCUUAACCCCAGGGCUACUCACAGUGGACGUGGCAUUUUUGUGCUGCUUGGGAAGGUUGGGCCUCUGGGACUAGAGGCCCCUGAAUGAGGCUGGGUUUCAGCCCAGCUCACCAGGAGCAGAAGCUUUGGUGUAGAGCCGAGAUUAGACCGUCUCCACCCUUGCACAGGUGACGUGCUGAUUUACUCAAGUGUGUGGUGACUGCCGGGUUCACGCGGAGACAAGGUCUGUGUUCCAGGCUGGAUGUUCUACAGGUGCGACUGUGCUGAAAGGUUUCAUGCGUAAACCUUGCAUUCGACAUUGGAUUUAAGAGGCACCUGCUCUUGGGGCAGACCUAUGGAGCCGUGAGCUGAGCUGUGUCCUUGAUGCCAAGUGGACCUAAGGUCAGGUGUUUGUGUGGUCGUGGUCGGCACCGUCUGCAGAUUCACAACUCCUCGUCCUCACGCCCACAUUCUGUGGGGGCUGUCUUGCGCCUUUCCACUGAAGAGACAGGUACCCCAAGUCUGUAUUAAUUGGUGUUCUAGAAGCUCUCCGGAGAGAAACGGGAUCUGCAGAGGAGAGCUGCCCGGGGUCACGGGAAGUCUUCCGACUGGAGUUCUGAAGCUCCUGGAUUGCAAGACGGCCCUGGUCGCCCCGAUUUCACUCACCAGCACCACGCGGGGGAGCCAAAGCCGUCUUAGGAAACUCCCCACUGGAACGAGAACACGGCGAGGGAGGGCUGGGCACCACCCAGGCCCACCUGCCCCUCGGGGUCCCCAGUAGCUGCAGAGCGUGGGGGCUGACGUGCAGCCUGUCAGCAUCUCUGCAUUGCUCGGUCCACAUGGCUCACCCGCUGUCCAGACCCGUGCUCCUGUCCCGGCGAGCCACACCACCUCCCUGAACCCCCACCCCCUUUGCCCUGUUUUCUCGCUGCCUUUUUUUUGUGUUGUUGCGAUGCAAUGCAAGACAGUUGGGGGGCGUUUAUGUGUGUAAACACCAUACAUUCUUCCUGGUAUAGACACGAUCCAGUCAUUCCUGUGCACAUAAAAGGGACAAAAGUAGGUUGUCACCAGUGCUGUGGCAGAUCACUAAAGCCACCUAUUCUUUGUCGCCAACAUAAGAAUGAAGGCCUCAGUGACCCACCCCUUACUAUUGGGGCAUAAACUGUGGACUCUGGGGGCAUGGAGGUGAAGAAUAACCUCGCAGCGAGGAUCCUGGCUUCUUGGUGGGGAAGAGGCCCUGGGAACCAGGACUUAGCUCCUGGACAGAGGUGUUGCACUGAGCCCUAUGGCCUGGUUCCUGGCACUGGGGUUGGGAUGAGCCCUGCGGGCCAUUUCCUCCCGCCAGGCCCAGGUCUCCCAGGAGGCCAGGGUCAGACCUGGCGCCCUCUGCCCCCGAAGGGCACCUGCUCCAUGGGUUUUGCCUGUUCCUGGGAAGAGGAAGGUGUGAGGUGCCUGAGAUGUGUGGAAUCACCAGCCUUCCCUUUGCUUGUCCUACUUUCGAGGAAAAAAGUAUGAAACCCUUCUCCACACAUUUCAGUGUUGAAGGCAGAGAAAAAUAACACAGUUCCUAAGUCCAGUGUUGUGUUUCCUUGUAAGUUACUCCAGGAGGUUUGGACGGGAACAUUCUGUCCAGAGAGAGGUGGCCAGGCCCUGCCAGGAGGACAGUAAGGCCCCAGGCUCUGCCCCUUAAGGGGCUCCCAGGGGCCAAGUCCAUUCUGGCAGCCGAGAUGGGCCCUGGGCAGGGCUGGAACAACAGCCUCUGCUUGUUCCGCCUGCACUGCCCGCGAGGCCUCUCCUGGAGGGUGUUGCCAUGUCUUCACAUGUCCCUGGGGUCUCUUCUCACAAGUGGGCGGAUCCCACCACGAAGCCCCGAGGACAUUGUCACUCCAGAGCGCGCCCCCCAACACCAUCACAUCUGGAUCUGGGGUUCCACCUGUAGAUCUGGGACAUAGAUGUUCCUCCACAGGGGCCCCACGCCGGUCAUAGGACUGACACCCGACCAGGUGCCUGUUCUUCCUGGAAGCUGUUCAUCCUUGUAUUUAAAUUGCCAGGAGGUUAGUUGGACCACCAGUUUCAGAGUCUCCCUGAAUGGGAGGAAUCCAGUUUCAGGUAGAGGAGCUUUCUGCCAGGUGAGUUGGUUGGAAAACAUCCAGAAUGUCUGAGACUCCUCGGUCAGGAGUCAGGGCCUAUUUCUGGCCCUUGGCUCUGGGCUGGUCUGGCCUUGGACCUGGCCUUGGCUCUGGGCUGGGCUGGCCUGGCCUUGGACCUGGCCCUGGCCCUGGCCUUGGCUCUGGGCUAGUUUGGCCUUGGACCUGGCCUUGACUCUGGGCUGACCUGGCCUUGGACCUGGCCUUGGGCUUGGGCUUGGCCUUGGACCUGGCCUUCGGCCUGGCUUUGACCAGAGAAUGAGCCUCAGCAAUGAGGCUCCACUGGGUGUCUGUCCCUAGGAGAUGGGUGUCUGCCCCUAGGAGCUGAACUUCCCCAGGGGACCUUUUCUGAACCUUGGUUCUUUUUGUUUCUUAUUGUCAUGGCAUCCUCAAGUCCAAGGCCCUUUUGUGAAGUAAAGUUGCUCAGUGUGCACAGUGUAACUCUGUCCUGACUUUCAGGGACACGUUCCUGGGUCAGUUUUGCAUCUGAAGCCACAGAUAAGAUCUGUAACUAAAGGUGAGACAUCUGGUGCUGCUGUUUUAGAGUCAUGGGCUAAAAAUCACAAUGACUCUUUUCAGGCAUCCCAGUUUUUCCAGAACUCGUACCUCAAACUCCUCUGAAUGGUGCAGGUCUGUGUGCACGUGUGCUUAUGCAAGUUUGACAUUAUGCAAGUUCAAAAUGUCAGGCUCAGGGCUCCUGGUUUAAAAUGCCACUUCGUUGCAGCCAGUUAAGGGCUCUUCAAAUCUUGUGUUAGUAACUCCUUGUGAGUCCUCAGUAGAAAUAGGGUCCGAGGAGUUGUCUGAAAUCCCUGCCAAGAGGUGGCUUUUACAGGAUCCUUGGUUAAUCCUUGACCAUCUCUGAUGAAGUGGACGGGGUGGCCUGUGAUUCCAGGAGAAGAUGGUGACAUGACAUCUCUGCGCCCGACUCUGUCCACGGCAGUGACCCUGUCUGCAGUGACACCCUCCUCCCUCACAGCAUGGGCUUGUCUUCGUUGUGUUGAGCCACAGCUGCCUGGUUUACAGUCUUAACUAAAGAAAUGUUGCUAUAGCCUUUAUUUUUGUUGCUUUUUGUAUUUUAGAUGCAUAGGUAUUUAAGACAAACUAGUUUGAAUUAAAGAUAAACUGAUAUAUGUUUUUUAUGAGUCAUUGAAAAUAGCAAAAUAUAUUGUUAAAAAAUACCUGUCAGUCCAUCUCUACACAAAGCCUGAGAAGGCUUUUCUUGAAAGGAGCUUGCUGUGGUGUAUACAGAGGUCAAAACAUAGUAUUGUACACAUGAACCAAAGUUAUAAACCAAUGUCACGUCAAUAAAACUUAAUCAACUUC